AAGGGCUGCAGUAUAUUGACUGUACAAAGGUAGCAUAAUCAAUAGUCUUUUAAUUGGAGACUUGUAUGAAUGAUUUGAUGAAAUAUAAACUGUCUCUUUAUUAUUAUUAGAAUUUAAUUUUUUAGUCAAAAAGCUAAAAUAGAUAUAAAAGACGAGAAGACCCUAUAGAGUUUUAUUUUUAUUUAUAUUUAAAAUAUUUAUAAAAUUUAUAUUUUAAAUAUAAAUAAAAAUUUUGUUGGGGUGAUAGAAAAAUUAAAGAAACUUUUUUUAAAUAUUAAACAUAAAUAAAUGAUUUUUUGAUCCAUAAUUUAUGAUUACAAGAAUAAAUUACCUUAGGGAUAACAGCGUAAUUUUUUUUUUUAGUUCUUAUAAAAAAAAGAGUUUGCGACCUCGAUGUUGGAUUAAGAUAAAAUUUAAAUGCAAAAGUUUAAAAUU
This 435-nucleotide ribosomal RNA is filed under the name Leptosia nina. RNAcentral's name for it is "partial 16S ribosomal RNA". Lineage: Eukaryota; Metazoa; Arthropoda; Insecta; Lepidoptera; Pieridae. The record is from RNAcentral.